RNAcentral lists this ribosomal RNA (488 nucleotides) under uncultured bacterium. RNAcentral describes it as "partial 16S ribosomal RNA". It matches the Rfam family "Bacterial small subunit ribosomal RNA", at positions 28 to 507 of the family's 1533-position model. The record is from RNAcentral.
GACGAACGCUGGCGGCGUGCUUAACACAUGCAAGUCGAACGGAAAGGCCCUGCUUUUGUGGGGUGCUCGAGUGGCGAACGGGUGAGUAACACGUGAGUAACCUGCCCUUGACUUUGGGAUAACUUCAGGAAACUGGGGCUAAUACCGGAUAGGAGCUCCUGCUGCAUGGUGGGGGUUGGAAAGUUUCGGCGGUUGGGGAUGGACUCGGGGCUUAUCAGCUUGUUGGUGGGGGAAUGGCUUACCAAGGCUUUGGUGGGUAGCCGGCGUGAGAGGGUGACCGGCGGCAGGGGAAGUGAGACGCCGGCCGGGGGCCUACGGGAGGCACCAGUGGGGAAUGGGGGACAGUGGGGGGAAGCCUGAACCAGGGGGGGCGCGUGUGUGAAGAAGGUCUUCGGGGGGGAAAGCCGUUUUAGUUGUGAGAAAGGGCAGUAAGUUGAUACCUUGCUGGUUUGACGUUAAGGAGAAAAGAAGCACCGGCUAACUUCGUG